Molecule: ribosomal RNA, 569 nt
Filed under: uncultured bacterium
Lineage: Bacteria
Description: bacterial SSU rRNA
Rfam family: Bacterial small subunit ribosomal RNA
Source: RNAcentral
CCCAAGGCGCAAGCCGUGGGUAACCGGCGAACGGGUGCGUAACACGUGAGUGACCUGCCGAUUUGUGGCGGGAUAGCCGGGCCAACGCCCGGGUAAUACCGCAUACGCUCUUCUUGGGGCAUCUCUAGAAGAGGAAACCUCCGGGGCAAAUCGAGGGACUCGCGGCCUAUCAGCUAGUUGGCGAGGUAACGGCUCACCAAGGCUACGACGGGUAGCUGGUCUGAGAGGAUGGCCAGCCACAUUGGGACUGAGAUACGGCCCAGACUCCUACGGGAGGCAGCAGUGGGGAAUAUUGCGCAAUGGCCUACCGGCUGACGCAGCGACGCCGCGUGUGGGAUGACGCCCUUCGGGGUGUAAACCCACUGUUGCUCGAGACGAUUAGCGAGCUUUAGCUCGCCUGACGGUAUCGAGUGAGGAAGCAUCGGCUAACUCCGUGCCAGCAGCCGCGGUAAUACGGAGGGUGCGAGCGUCCGUUGGAAUCACUGGGCGUAAACCGCGCGUAGGUGGUCAGGUAAGGGUGUGGUGAAAGUCCCGGGCUCACCCCGGAUCUGCCCGUGCCGACUGCUGAC